This 500-nucleotide ribosomal RNA is filed under the name uncultured bacterium. RNAcentral describes it as "partial 16S ribosomal RNA". It matches the Rfam family "Bacterial small subunit ribosomal RNA", at positions 30 to 523 of the family's 1533-position model. The record is from RNAcentral.
AUUGAACGCUGGCGGCAUGCCUUACACAUGCAAGUCGAACGGCAGCACGGGAGCAAUCCUGGUGGCGAGAGGCGAACGGGUGAGUAAAGUAUCGGAACGUGCCCAGUCGUGGGGGAUAACGUAGCGAAAGUUACGCUAAUACCGCAUACGAUCUAUGGAUGAAAGCGGGGGAUCGCAAGACCUCGCGCGAUUGGAGCGGCCGAUAUCAGAUUAGGUAGUUGGUGGGGUAAAGGCCCACCAAGCCGACGAUCUGUAGCUGGUCUGAGAGGACGACCAGCCACACUGGGACUGAGACACGGCCCAGACUCCUACGGGAGGCAGCAGUGGGGAAUUUUGGACAAUGGGCGCAAGCCUGAUCCAGCCAUGCCGCGUGCAGGAUGAAGGCCUUCGGGUUGUAAACUGCUUUUGUACGGAACGAAAAGGUUUGACUUAAUACGUUGGACUCAUGACGGUACCGUAAGAAUAAGCACCGGCUAACUACGUGCCAGCAGCCGCCGUAA